This 465-nucleotide ribosomal RNA is filed under the name uncultured bacterium. RNAcentral describes it as "partial 16S ribosomal RNA". It matches the Rfam family "Bacterial small subunit ribosomal RNA", at positions 338 to 795 of the family's 1533-position model. The record is from RNAcentral.
CCUACGGGAGGCAGCAGUGGGGAAUAUUGCACAAUGGGCGAAAGCCUGAUGCAGCGACGCCGCGUGAGGGAUGAAGGUCUUCGGAUCGUAAACCUCUGUCAGCAGGGAAGAACGGUCAUUGUGCUAAUAAGCAGCGAAUUGACGGUACCUGCAAAGGAAGCACCGGCUAACUCCGUGCCAGCAGCCGCGGUAAUACGGAGGGUGCGAGCGUUAAUCGGAAUUACUGGGCGUAAAGCGCUCGUAGGCGGUAUGUCAAGUCAAGGGUGAAAUCCCCGCGCUCAACGUGGGAACUGCCUUUGAAACUGGCAGACUAGAGUGUGGUAGAGGAGAGUAGAAUUCCAGGUGUAGCAGUGAAAUGCGUAGAUAUCUGGAGGAACAUCAGUGGCGAAGGCGACUAUCUGGCACAUAACUGACGCUGAGGAGCGAAAGCGUGGGGAGCAAACAGGAUUAGAUACCCGUGUAGUC